Molecule: ribosomal RNA, 232 nt
Filed under: uncultured bacterium
Lineage: Bacteria
Description: partial 16S ribosomal RNA
Rfam family: Bacterial small subunit ribosomal RNA
Source: RNAcentral
AACGUAGGAGACAAACGUUAUCCGGAGUUACUGGGCGUAAAGGGCGUGUAGGUGGUAAUGUAAGUCUGGCGUGAAAUUUUUCGGCUUAACCGGGAAAGGUCGUCGGAUACUGCAUGACUAGAGGACGGUAGAGGCGUGUGGAAUUCCGGGGUGUAGUGGUGAAAUGCGUAGAGAUGUGGAGGAACACCGAUGGCGCAAGGCAGCCCCCCUGGGCGUAACACUGACGCUCAUG